CCUUUUUCAUUCUUCCCUCCCUGUCUUACAGUUUUGCUGCAAGAUGACAUCUCUCAAGCUGUAGCGUGUGCCAAGAGGGUCGUCAGGGAUCCACAAGGCAUUAGAGCAUGGGUGGCAUGGAGGAACCGUUGUCAAAACCAAGAUGUCUCCCAGUAUGUGAGGGGUUGUGGCGUGUAACUGCGGAGAUUCUUCCCUCCUUCAUCUUAUUUCCUCUUUUCGCAUUAAGGAAGUCGUAGUUAAGUGAAAUUCAGAUUGCCAACAUUCCUUCUUCAGACAAGUAACAGUUUUACAGAAGCAGGAGAAAAAUAAGGCUCUUCUUCUAAGAGGUUUAAUGUUCAUUUAUGUGUUUAUCAUUUCAUAUUAAUCCUGUAACAUUUUUCAGUUUGCUCAUAGAACUAAUGUAGGUAAAUAUGUAUCUGAAACUUUGGAGGUCAGAUACAUCUCCACACUCAGUUCUUAGUGAAAGAAAAAA
Tupaia belangeri chinensis (Chinese tree shrew) is the source of this 472-nucleotide long non-coding RNA. RefSeq lists it as uncharacterized. The transcript is spliced from 2 exons. NCBI's taxonomy places the organism in Eukaryota, Metazoa, Chordata, Mammalia, Scandentia, Tupaiidae. The record is from RefSeq and is a predicted model, not a curated record.